GACGAACGCUGGCGGCGUGCUUAACACAUGCAAGUUGAACGGAAAGGCCCCCAUCUUGGUGGGGGUGCUCGAGUGGCGAACGGGUGAGUAACACGUGGGUGAUCUGCCCUGUACUUCGGGAUAAGCUUGGGAAACUGGGUCUAAUACCGGAUAGGACCAUGGUUUAGUGUCUCAUGGUGGAAAGAUUAUUGUUUUGGUGCAGGAUGAGCUCGCGGCCUAUCAGCUUGUUGGUGGGGUAAUGGCCUACCAAGGCGUCGACGGGUAGCCGGCCUGAGAGGGUGGACGGCCACAUUGGGACUGAGAUACGGCCCAGACUCCUACGGGAGGCAGCAGUGGGGAAUAUUGCACAAUGGGCGCAAGCCUGAUGCAGCGACGCCGCGUGGGGGAUGACGGCCUUCGGGUUGUAAACUCCUUUCGUUAGGGACGAAGCCGCACUUUUUUUGGGUGUGGUGACGGUACCUUUGUUAAGAAGCACCGGCUAACUACGUG
This 489-nucleotide ribosomal RNA is filed under the name uncultured bacterium. Its description in RNAcentral is "partial 16S ribosomal RNA". It matches the Rfam family "Bacterial small subunit ribosomal RNA", at positions 28 to 507 of the family's 1533-position model. The record is from RNAcentral.